This 104-nucleotide microRNA precursor is filed under the name Canis lupus familiaris (dog). RNAcentral's name for it is "mir-8834 microRNA precursor family". It matches the Rfam family "mir-8834 microRNA precursor family". The record is from Rfam by way of RNAcentral. Lineage: Eukaryota; Metazoa; Chordata; Mammalia; Carnivora; Canidae.
AGGAACCACCACAGUGUCGCUGGCCAGCUCUGGAAACCUUGAUUCAGCUCCCACAGUAAUUAAGGAGCUCUCAGCCUGCAGGGGCCUGGAGGCUCCGGGGCGGG